GACUCUCUUUCCUAGUGCUCCAAGGAACGUAACGACUGCUGGAUGUGUGCCCACGUGGGGGGCAGACGGUGUGGACCCAUUUAACCAACCAGUCACACCUGGUUAUCACAACACACAGUCUCUGGGGGAAAAGCCAUCAAAGUGUAGUCACAGCCCGCGAGUGUAUUCAAACAGAGGCACGUUCCAAAAAUACUAUGUUAUGUUCAAUGAUGCAUUUCUUACACUUCAAACAAGACUGGAGACACUAUCAUCUCGGACUAAAAAACAUUUACCACUGAAAUAGGGACUUGCACUCUUACCCAUCUUGAAGCUGUUUUAUCCAAGAAUAAAAAAAGGAGUUAAAAAAAGGCUUUUUCGUCCCCUGUAAAGUUCCCCAUAUAGUUUCCUGUAUCAAAUAACUUGAAAAAAAUGCUUUAGAAAUCACUUCAAACAAGUACUCAUGAUCUUGUUAACUGAAGUUGACAGGAAAUGGUUUCCAGUUUUAGGUUUUUUGGCUCCACUGGAUUAACAUUUGCAUUACCAGCACGAUAAAAUCCCUGGCUAAGGAAGACACUGGUAGCCUGGAAGUGUCUUGGAUUAGACUGCCAUUUCAUAAAGUGCUUGUAUUCAAAACCAUAGAGCUGAUGAAGAGUGUUCUUUCUGUGAUGGAGAAUGAGGGAUUCCCCAGGACAGAACUCCAGGUUCAUCUCUCCCAGUCGUUGCUGGGUUUUGGCACAGCCAUCUGAUUAGCCUCCAAGACGUUGACCUUCUCCCCAUGCAAAUCCUCCUGGCCGUUCUUCUGGCAAGGGAUUGUAAUUAGGAUCAUCUUCCGGUGUAUCAAAUAUUGCUUUCAGGACAGAUGGUGUUCUCAGAAGCCUUCCACCACCAGGCUGAUUGGGAAAGACGUCCUCUAAGAAAAAAUAUAUAUGCCCGACUGCAAUGCCUAGGAGAUCCACAAUGAUGGAGUUCCCCAAAAGCAGUGAAAAGCCCAUCAGAACCCAAGGCAGAAACGGAGCUUGGAAGAUGAGAAGACCAAAGAAGUUCAUACGGACAUAGGGAUUCCUGCGGCUCC
Molecule: long non-coding RNA, 1051 nt
Filed under: Gallus gallus (chicken)
Lineage: Eukaryota; Metazoa; Chordata; Aves; Galliformes; Phasianidae
Source: RNAcentral